Silurus meridionalis is the source of this 191-nucleotide long non-coding RNA. RefSeq lists it as uncharacterized. NCBI's taxonomy places the organism in Eukaryota, Metazoa, Chordata, Actinopteri, Siluriformes, Siluridae. The record is from RefSeq and is a predicted model, not a curated record. The transcript has 3 exons.
UCCGCCUCAUCAUCAUCAUCAUCAUCUAAACCAGCAGCUUCCACUGUGAUCACGGUGUCUGUAAUUCUGCUGCUGCUUCUGAUUGGAAUCAUAUUCCUCACUUUCACUGUUCAAAAGAGACGCAGGAUGCACGAUUCUGUUGCCCAGAAUUCUGUCCAAAACUCAGAAAGUGACCAUGGGGUAAUUCUCUU